Molecule: ribosomal RNA, 491 nt
Filed under: uncultured bacterium
Lineage: Bacteria
Description: partial 16S ribosomal RNA
Rfam family: Bacterial small subunit ribosomal RNA
Source: RNAcentral
AGUGAACGCUGGCGGUAGGCCUAACACAUGCAAGUCGAACGGCAGCACAGUAAGAGCUUGCUCUUACGGGUGGCGAGUGGCGGACGGGUGAGGAAUACAUCGGAAUCUACUUUUUCGUGGGGGAUAACGUAGGGAAACUUACGCUAAUACCGCAUACGACCUACGGGUGAAAGCAGGGGAUCUUCGGACCUUGCGCGAUUGAAUGAGCCGAUGUCGGAUUAGCUAGUUGGCGGGGUAACGGCCCACCAAGGCGACGAUCCGUAGCUGGUCUGAGAGGAUGAUCAGCCACACUGGAACUGAGACACGGUCCAGACUCCUACGGGAGGCAGCAGUGGGGAAUAUUGGACAAUGGCGCAAGCCUUAUCCAGCCAUCCCGCGUGGGUGAAGAAGGCCUUCGGGUUGUAAAGCCCUUUUGUUGGGAAAGAAAAGCAGCAGGUUAAUACCCCGCUGUUCUGACGGUACCCAAAGAAUAAGCACCGGCUAACUUCGUG